RNAcentral lists this ribosomal RNA (292 nucleotides) under uncultured bacterium. RNAcentral describes it as "partial 16S ribosomal RNA". It matches the Rfam family "Bacterial small subunit ribosomal RNA", at positions 505 to 796 of the family's 1533-position model. The record is from RNAcentral.
GUGCCAGCAGCCGCGGUAAAACGUAGGAGACAAACGUUAUCCGGAGUUACUGGGCGUAAAGGGCGUGUAGGCGGUUUGUUAAGUCUGGCGUGAAAGCUCUCGGCUAAACCGGGAGAGGUCGUUGGAUACUGGCGAACUAGAGGAUGGUAGAGGCGUGUGGAAUUCCGGGUGUAGUGGUGAAAUGCGUAGAGAUCCGGAGGAACACCAGUGGCGAAGGCGACACGCUGGGCCAUACCUGACGCUAAAGCGCGACAGCAUGGGGAGCAAACGGGAUUAGAAACCCCUGUAGUCC